This 57-nucleotide transfer RNA is filed under the name Cyanobacteria bacterium UBA11368. RNAcentral describes it as "tRNA-Thr". It matches the Rfam family "tRNA", at positions 10 to 65 of the family's 71-position model. Rfam says of the family: Transfer RNA (tRNA) molecules are approximately 80 nucleotides in length. Lineage: Bacteria; Bacillati; Cyanobacteriota. The record is from RNAcentral.
GCUCAGUGGUAGAGCACACCCUUGGUAAGGGUGAGGUCACGAGUUCAAUCCUCGUCA